CUACGGAGGGUGCAAGCGUUACUCGGAAUCACUGGGCGUAAAGGGUGCGUAGGCGGCUUGAUAAGUCGGAUGUGAAAGCCCCGGGCUUAACCUGGGAAUUGCAUUCGAUACUGUCAGGCUAGAGUAUGUCAGAGGUUGGCGGAAUUCCUGGUGUAGCGGUGAAAUGCGUAGAUAUCAGGAGGAACACCAGUGGCGAAGGCGGCUAACUGGGACAAUACUGACGCUGAGGCACGAAAGCGUGGGGAGCAAACAGGAUUAGAAACCCUAGUAGUCC
RNAcentral lists this ribosomal RNA (274 nucleotides) under uncultured bacterium. RNAcentral's name for it is "partial 16S ribosomal RNA". It matches the Rfam family "Bacterial small subunit ribosomal RNA", at positions 523 to 796 of the family's 1533-position model. The record is from RNAcentral.